Molecule: unclassified non-coding RNA, 164 nt
Filed under: Jeotgalicoccus saudimassiliensis
Lineage: Bacteria; Bacillati; Bacillota; Bacilli; Caryophanales; Staphylococcaceae
Description: T-box
Source: RNAcentral
AUAAAAGCUGAAAUUUUGAAUAUGCGGUAAAAAUUUUAGAGACAUUGUGGCUGGUGAAAACAAUGAUACCCCGUAUAUGUGCUGUUUUUCGGUCAGUUUAAGAAAUACUAAAGUGAUGACACAGUCAUAAUUUGGGUGGUACCGCGGUAACAACCGUCCCUUUU